UGCCUUACACAUGCAAGUCGAACGGCAGCACGGGGGCGAACCCUCGGUGGCGAGUGGCGGACGGGUGAGUAAAGCAUCGGAACGUAUCCUGGAGUGGGGGAGUAACGUAAGCGAAAGUUACGCUAAUACCGCAUAUUCUGUGAGCAGGAAAGCAGGGGAUCGCAAGACCUUGCGCUCUGGGAGCGGCCGAUGUCGGAUUAGCUAGUUGGUGGGGUAAAGGCCUACCAAGGCGACGAUCCGUAGCGGGUCUGAGAGGAUGAUCCGCCACACUGGGACUGAGACACGGCCCAGACUCCUACGGGAGGCAGCAGUGGGGAAUUUUUGGACAAUGGGCGCAAGCCUGAUCCAGCCAUGCCGCGUGAGUGAAGAAGGCCUUCGGGUUGUAAAGCUCUUUCGGCGGGGAAGAAAUUGCACGGGUUAAUACCCUGUGUAGAUGACGGUACCCGAAUAAGAAGCACCGGCUAACUACGUG
Molecule: ribosomal RNA, 472 nt
Filed under: uncultured bacterium
Lineage: Bacteria
Description: bacterial SSU rRNA
Rfam family: Bacterial small subunit ribosomal RNA
Source: RNAcentral